CAGCCGCCGCGGUAAUCCGUAGGUGGCAAGCGUUGUCCGGAAUUAUUGGGCGUAAAGCGCGCGCAGGCGGAUAGGUCAGUCUGUCUUAAAAGUUCGGGGCUUAACCCCGUGAUGGGAUGGAAACUGCCAAUCUAGAGUAUCGGAGAGGAAAGUGGAAUUCCUAGUGUAGCGGUGAAAUGCGUAGAUAUUAGGAAGAACACCAGCGGCGAAGGCGACUUUCUGGACGAAAACUGACGCUGAGGCGCGAAAGCCAGGGGAGCGAACGGGAUUAGAUACCCCUGUAGUCCCUGUCUCUUAUACA
RNAcentral lists this ribosomal RNA (301 nucleotides) under uncultured bacterium. RNAcentral describes it as "partial 16S ribosomal RNA". It matches the Rfam family "Bacterial small subunit ribosomal RNA", at positions 509 to 809 of the family's 1533-position model. The record is from RNAcentral.